GAUAAGCGAAGAACCUUACCAGGGCUUGACCUAGCGGUAGUAGAACCCUGAAAGGGGAACGACCUCAAGCUUUGCUUGAGGAGCCGUGGCAGGUAUUGCAUGGCUGUCGUCAGCUCGUGUCGUGGGACGUUGGGUUAAGUCCCGUAACGAGCGCAACCCCUGCCCUUAAUUGCCAGCGGGUUAAUGCCGGGGACUAUAAGGGGACUGCCGGAGAAUAUCCGGAGGAAGGAGGGGAUGACGUCAAGUCAUUAUGAUCCUUAUGCUCUGGGCGACACACGUGCUACAAUGGCCACUACAGUGAGGAGCCAAUCCGCAAGGACGAGCAAAUCUCAAAAAGGUGGCCUCAGUGCGGAUUGGGGUCUGCAACCCGACCCCAUGAAGAUGGAAUCGGUAGUAAUCGCGGGUCAGCCACACCGCGGUGAAUAUGUACUUGGGCCUUG
This 440-nucleotide ribosomal RNA is filed under the name uncultured KB1 group bacterium. Its description in RNAcentral is "bacterial SSU rRNA". It matches the Rfam family "Bacterial small subunit ribosomal RNA", at positions 956 to 1383 of the family's 1533-position model. The record is from RNAcentral. Lineage: Bacteria; Candidatus Calescibacteriota.